This 465-nucleotide ribosomal RNA is filed under the name uncultured Desulfobacteraceae bacterium. RNAcentral describes it as "bacterial SSU rRNA". It matches the Rfam family "Bacterial small subunit ribosomal RNA", at positions 920 to 1382 of the family's 1533-position model. Lineage: Bacteria; Pseudomonadati; Thermodesulfobacteriota; Desulfobacteria; Desulfobacterales; Desulfobacteraceae. The record is from RNAcentral.
CCCGCACAAGCGGUGGAGUAUUGUGGUUUAAUUCGACGCAACGCGAAGAACCUUACCUAGGUUUGACAUCCCGGGGAGUCUUUUGAAAGAGAGAUGUGCCUUUCGGGAGCCCGGAGACAGGUGCUGCAUGGCUGUCGUCAGCUCGUGUCGUGAGAUGUUGGGUUAAGUCCCGCAACGAGCGCAACCCUUAUCUUUAGUUACCAGCACUUCGGGUGGGGACUCUAGAGAUACUGCCCCGGUCAACGGGGAGGAAGGUGGGGAUGACGUCAAGUCCUCAUGGCCUUUAUGCCUAGGGCUACACACGUGCUACAAUGGGGCGUACAGAGAGCUGCGAUACCGCGAGGUGGAGCCAAUCUCUUAAAGCGUCUCUCAGUUCGGAUUGUUCUCUGCAACUCGAGAACAUGAAGCUGGAAUCACUAGUAAUCGCAGAUCAGCUAUGCUGCGGUGAAUACGUUCCCGGGUCUU